RNAcentral lists this unclassified non-coding RNA (226 nucleotides) under uncultured fungus. RNAcentral's name for it is "sequence contains ITS1, 5.8S rRNA gene". The stretch from base 178 to 226 matches the Rfam family "5.8S ribosomal RNA", at positions 1 to 49 of the family's 154-position model. The record is from RNAcentral. Lineage: Eukaryota; Fungi.
UCUCCGUAGGUGAACCUGCGGAGGGAUCAUUACCGAGUGAGGGCUCACGCCCGUCCUCCAACCCUUUGUGAACACAUCUUGUUGCUUCGGGGGCGACCCUGCCGUUUCGACGGCGAGCGCCCCCGAAGGUCUCCCAACACUGCAUCUUUGCGUCGGAGUUUGUUACAAAUGAAACAAAACUUUCAACAACGGGUCUCUUGGUUCUGGCAUCGAUGAAGAACGCAGC